Molecule: ribosomal RNA, 491 nt
Filed under: uncultured bacterium
Lineage: Bacteria
Description: partial 16S ribosomal RNA
Rfam family: Bacterial small subunit ribosomal RNA
Source: RNAcentral
AGUGAACGCUGGCGGUAGGCCUAACACAUGCAAGUCGAACGGCAGCACAGUAAGAGCUUGCUCUUACGGGUGGCGAGUGGCGGACGGGUGAGGAAUACAUCGGAAUCUACUUUUUCGUGGGGGAUAACGUAGGGAAACUUACGCUAAUACCGCAUACGACCUACGGUUGAAAGCAUGGGAUCUUCGUACCUUUCGCGAUUGAUUGAGCCGAUGUCGGUUUAUGUUGUUGGCGGGGUAAAGGCCCACCAAGGCGACGAUCCGUAUCUGGUCUGAGAGGAUGAUAAGCAAAACUGGAACGGAGAAACGGUCCAGACACCAACGGGAGGAAGCAGUGGGGAAAAUUGGAAAAGGGGCGAAAGACUGAACAAGAAAUACAGGGUGGGUGAAGAAGGCCUUCGGGUUGUAAGACCUUUUGUUGGGAAAGAAAAGAAGCAGGUUAAUACCCCGAUGUUCUGACGGUAACCAAAGAAUAAGCAACGGCUAACUUCGUG